GUAGGUGAACCUGCGGAAGGAUCAUUAAGAUAUAUCCAAACCUACUCAACCAAGCCAAUUUGUUGCAGGGCGAAAGCCUCGCAGCUAACACCUAACCAAAAGAAGUAUAACCAAGCUUCAACCUAAAACCAAAUCCUCAACGAUGGAUAUCUAGGUUCCUACUACGAUGAAGAACGCAGCGAAGUGCGAUAAGCAAUGCGAAUUGCAGAGCCGAGAGUCAUCAGAUUUUUGAACGUAACUGACACCGGAGGGCACUCUCUUCGGUAUGCUUCUUUCAGUGUGUGAUUCUCUCAUCACCCAAACCUUAAUGCGAUAGAUGCCCUUCUAUUGCUAAGCUCGAAAGCACUCUGUACCCUGCAGCGGAGGUCUCACGACUGACGCACUCAAUGCAGUAGUCACAUUCUCAAAUGUGAACUCAUUGAGCGUAGAGUCAGCGCAUGCUUGCAUGCCAGUGCUUGGACACCCAAAUUUUAAUAGCAUCUGAGAUGAAGUAGGACCACCCGCUGAACUUAAGCAUAUCAGUA
Molecule: ribosomal RNA, 524 nt
Filed under: Tintinnopsis hemispiralis
Lineage: Eukaryota; Ciliophora; Spirotrichea; Tintinnida; Codonellidae
Description: eukaryotic LSU rRNA
Rfam family: 5.8S ribosomal RNA (bases 132-283)
Source: RNAcentral